Long non-coding RNA from Helianthus annuus (common sunflower), 337 nucleotides. RefSeq lists it as uncharacterized. The transcript has 3 exons. NCBI's taxonomy places the organism in Eukaryota, Viridiplantae, Streptophyta, Magnoliopsida, Asterales, Asteraceae. The record is from RefSeq and is a predicted model, not a curated record.
GUGGGUCGCGACCAGGAGGCAAGAACAAGGGGAGACCCUAAUCUCAUCAAUUAACAUCAAAAUUCAGCAAGAUUGUGAAGGAUUCUAGUCAUAAAUCGAAUGUUUGUGCUUAACUAUUGUCUAAUCCAAGAGUUUUGAGCAUAAGGAUCGAAAGAAGAAGGAGCUAGUUCCGGAUCACAAACAAAGGCACAAGAUCGAGGAUCGAAAGAAGAAGGAGCUAGUUCCGGAUCACAAACAAAGGCACAAGAUCGAGGUAAGUUCGUUACUUACAUGUUUAGUUGUGAGUUUAUUAAUUUGUCCCUUUGAUAAUUGAUUUUCAAAUUAAAGUCAUUGUUUC